RNAcentral lists this ribosomal RNA (625 nucleotides) under Triticum aestivum (bread wheat). RNAcentral's name for it is "partial small subunit ribosomal RNA". Lineage: Eukaryota; Viridiplantae; Streptophyta; Magnoliopsida; Poales; Poaceae. The record is from RNAcentral.
GAUCGAGUGAGAGGGUAGAGGGAGCGCGGCGAGAGAGCAAGGGGUGUGCUCGGGCUUCGUGACGGCGGUACCGGAGGCAGCUAGAGCGCCGGUGGCAGCGGGGGUGCGAAGCUCUGGCGCGGAUCCUCUACGCAGCAGCAGGUGAUGCAGGAGAUGCUCCUGAGUAAGCUCGAGACGCGGAGAUGUAGCAGCCCUAGCUCGCGAAGCAGGAGAAGCUAGUGGCCGCGGAGAGGCAGUUUAUGUGGCAGCGACAACGAGGAUUUGAGGGUUGCCCGGAGGCACGCGGAUGAUCUGGGGCUCUGACUACGACUACGGGGACUCAUACUGAUGCAGCUGCUGCUGGGGAGGAACGGUUUCGUUGGUCUGCAACCUCAGGUCCUCGGUCUGCGGUGGCAGCUGCUGCUGAUGAUGUGAUCUCCACGGAUGAUGAUGCACGUCCGACGACUGCUGCUGGUCAUCAUCAAUCCUCCUAGGGUCCGUCUUCCGGACGCGGAGAAAGCUAGACAUAGGGUCAAACACGAUCGGUAGAAUACCGUUGAACAAAUUGAAUACAGACAUGAGUCUAUAACAACGAAGGCGACUGAGUAGAUACUAGCUCGUGAAAAUAAGUUCGGGAGUUCCGGGG